Long non-coding RNA from Hibiscus syriacus, 151 nucleotides. RefSeq lists it as uncharacterized. NCBI's taxonomy places the organism in Eukaryota, Viridiplantae, Streptophyta, Magnoliopsida, Malvales, Malvaceae. The transcript is spliced from 3 exons. The record is from RefSeq and is a predicted model, not a curated record.
GAGCAGGAGAUGGAAAUUGAAGCUCUGGAAUCAAUACUUAUGGAUGAAUUCAAAGAAAUUCACUCCGCGGAGAGUGGACUAAGCACUUCAAAUAGAUGCUUCCAAAUAACAAUAUCUCCUCAGUAUGAUGACACAGAUCAAUCAACACCAG